CAUCUCCACUCAGCUGGCAACUCUGAGUUUCUGGCAGGGUAUGGAGGGGAAGGUAGUUGCUAUCAAUAGAGUAAGGAAAGUGGACUCCAGCUCAGAUGACAAUAAACCAAAUCGGCUUCCUGCUGUUUAUCAUCCUGGCCAUCAGAAGUUGCGGCGCUGGUGA
Molecule: long non-coding RNA, 163 nt
Organism: Peromyscus eremicus (cactus mouse)
Lineage: Eukaryota; Metazoa; Chordata; Mammalia; Rodentia; Cricetidae
Exons: 2
Source: RefSeq, a predicted model, not a curated record